UACGUAGGGUGCAAGCGUUAAUCGGAAUUACUGGGCGUAAAGCGUACGCAGGCGGCUUUGCAAGACAGGUGUGAAAUCCCCGGGCCUAACCUGGGAACUGCAUUUGUGACUGCAUGGCUAGAGUCUGUCAGAGGGGGGUGGAAUUCCACGUGUAGCAGUGAAAUGCGUAGAGAUGUGGAAGAACACCGAUGGCGAAGGCAGCCCCCUGGGAUGAGACUGACGCUCAUGUACGAAAGCGUGGGGAGCAAACAGG
This 253-nucleotide ribosomal RNA is filed under the name uncultured bacterium. Its description in RNAcentral is "partial 16S ribosomal RNA". It matches the Rfam family "Bacterial small subunit ribosomal RNA", at positions 524 to 776 of the family's 1533-position model. The record is from RNAcentral.